GACGAACGCUGGCGGCGUGCUUAACACAUGCAAGUCGAACGGUGACCCAGGGCUUGCCCUGGUGAUCAGUGGCGAACGGGUGAGUAACACGUGGGCAACCUGCCCCUGACUUCGGGAUAACUCCUCGAAAGAGGAGCUAAUACCGGAUACGACCACUUCGGACAUCCGAUGGUGGUGGAAAGUUUUUCGGUCAGGGAUGGGCCCGCGGCCUAUCAGCUAGUUGGUGGGGUAAUGGCCUACCAAGGCGACGACGGGUAGCCGGCCUGAGAGGGCGACCGGCCACACUGGGACUGAGACACGGCCCAGACUCCUACGGGAGGCAGCAGUGGGGAAUAUUGCGCAAUGGGCGAAAGCCUGACGCAGCGACGCCGCGUGAGGGAUGAAGGCCUUCGGUUGUAAACCUCUUCAGCAGGACGAAGCGAAAGUGACGGUACCUGCAGAGAAGCACCGGCUAACUACGUGCCAGCAACCGCGGUAAU
RNAcentral lists this ribosomal RNA (479 nucleotides) under uncultured bacterium. RNAcentral describes it as "bacterial SSU rRNA". It matches the Rfam family "Bacterial small subunit ribosomal RNA", at positions 28 to 524 of the family's 1533-position model. The record is from RNAcentral.